Mauremys mutica (yellowpond turtle) is the source of this 877-nucleotide long non-coding RNA. RefSeq lists it as uncharacterized. Lineage: Eukaryota; Metazoa; Chordata; Testudines; Geoemydidae. The record is from RefSeq and is a predicted model, not a curated record. The transcript has 3 exons.
UUCAGUUGGUGUCAUGGAAGGACAGAAUGCUGGAAUUAAAAGACUGUUGCAUUUGAAUAUGAUCGCAGGAGAAAGGGAGAUCCCCAACACCUUGCUUUUUUAGCCGAGUCAGUAAAAGAGCCUGUUGUGCUCCCUGUGGAAUUUCAACCAAAACCAGAAAGGACAGAUGUGCAUCUAAUCAGUGAAAAUACAACUUUCCUAACAAAAACAAGACCAUAUAUGACAUACUGGAAAAAGACCUGAGUAGACAAAUUGCCUCAGAGGAAUGGGGUUUGAUCUGGAAAAGAGGACCAGCAACCUUAGGCUGUAGCACAAUAAAAUAAAAUAUCUUUAAAAUACUAUUUCAAUGAUACCUCACACAAGUCAGGUUAAAGAGAGGGAGACUGAAUGGGGAUAAAUAUUGGAGGAAUUGUGGAGAAUGAGAUUUUAUGCAUAUAUGGUGGAUAUAUUGGAGAUGCAAUAUGUAACCAAAUAUCACAAAAUGUUGGAUAUUUCUUACCAAAUUAUCCUUUGGUCAUCCUGCCGGGGUUCUCAGUGGAAAUGGUCAGACAAAAAGAAAUGAAGAAUUAAUUUCUCAUUUGCCAGUAGCUGCCAGGCUACCAAUAACCUUUCACUGGAAAAAGAAAAAUGUCGAACCGUAGAGGAAUCGUUCAUUUAUAUAUAAGCAAAAUAGACAGAAGACAAAUAGACAUAUAUCUAUUUGGUUAUCUUUUAUUCAAUACACAAAGUACAUUAACCUGCAAAAAACCUGUAUAACUGUCUAAUUUUUUGAAAUAUUACCAAUUGAUAGAAAUGCCUGGUCUGUUAAAUAUGCACAAUCAGAUAUUUCACUCAGUUUAAUAAAAAUCACUAAAAAUGAUGAGUUGUAAGUGUUGUA